This 171-nucleotide non-coding RNA is filed under the name Heterosigma akashiwo. The record is from RNAcentral. Lineage: Eukaryota; Raphidophyceae; Chattonellales; Chattonellaceae.
GUCAAGGCAGCCUGCAGAUAGACGGUGGUUGUGUGGCUCAGGAUGUGGAGAGGCACACUGCAAGUAGAAAUUUAGAAAAGAAAAAAAGAAAAAAAACUACUACUAUGUUGUAGGCUCCCCCUUCAAUAUUAUUAUUAUUAUUAUUAUUUAAUUGAUGAAAAUUUAAAAAAA